Molecule: ribosomal RNA, 503 nt
Filed under: uncultured bacterium
Lineage: Bacteria
Description: partial 16S ribosomal RNA
Rfam family: Bacterial small subunit ribosomal RNA
Source: RNAcentral
AUUGAACGCUGGCGGCAGGCUUAACACAUGCAAGUCGAGCGGGGUGAUGGUGCUUGCACUAUCACUUAGCGGCGGACGGGUGAGUAAUGCUUAGGAAUCUGCCUAUUAGUGGGGGACAACAUCUCGAAGGGGAUGCUAAUACCGCAUACGUCCUACGGGAGAAAGCAGGGGAUCACUUGUGACCUUGCGCUAAUAGAUGAGCCUAAGUCGGAUUAGCUAGUUGGUGGGGUAAAGGCCUACCAAGGGGACGAUCUUUAGCGGGUCUGAGAGGAUGAGCCGCCACACUGGGACAGAGACCAGGCCCAGACUCCUACGGGAGGCAGCAGUGGGGAAUAUUGGACAAUGGGGGGAACCCUGAUCCAGCCAUGCCGCGUGUGUGAAGAAGGCCUUAUGGUUGUAAAGCACUUUAAGCGAGGAGGAGGCUCUUUUGGUUAAUACCCAAGAUGAGUGGACGUUACUCGCAGAAUAAGCACCGGCUAACUCUGUGCCAGCAGCCGCAGUAA